GGAGUGAAAAAGAACCUGAAACCGUGUACGUACAAGCAGUGGGAGCACAGGUUUACCUGUGUGACUGCGUACCUUUUGUAUAAUGGGUCAGCGACUUAUAUUCUGUAGCAAGGUUAACCGUAUAGGGGAGCCGUAGGGAAACCGAGUCUUAACCGGGCGUUAAGUUGCAGGGUAUAGACCCGAAACCCGGUGAUCUAGCCAUGGGCAGGUUGAAGGUUGGGUAACACUAACUGGAGGACCGAACCGACUAAUGUUGAAAAAUUAGCGGAUGACCUGUGGCUGGGGGUGAAAGGCCAAUCAAACCGGGAGAUAGCUGGUUCUCCCCGAAAGCUAUUUAGGUAGCGCCUCGUGAAUUCAUCUCCGGGGGUAGAGCACUGUUUCGGCUAGGGGGCCAUCCCGGCUUACCAACCCGAUGCAAACUGCGAAUACCGGAGAAUGUUAUCACGGGAGACACACGGCGGGUGCUAACGUCCGUCGUGAAGAGGGAAACAACCCAGACCGCCAGCUAAGGUCCCAAAGUCAUGGUUAAGUGGGAAACGAUGUGGGAAGGCCCAGACAGCCAGGAUGUUGGCUUAGAAGCAGCCAUCAUUUAAAGAAAGCGUAAUAGCUCACUGGUCGAGUCGGCCUGCGCGGAAGAUGUAACGGGGCUAAACCAUGCACCGAAGCUGCGGCAGCGAACGUAUCACCCAAGACAACUUUACGGAGUUGACGAUUGACGGAGCGAAGCGACGUCAAAGCGUUCAUUAAAGUCGAGUUGGCUUAGGGAUACGUUCGUUGGGUAGGGGAGCGUUCUGUAAGCCUGUGAAGGUGUGUCGUGAGGCAUGCUGGAGGUAUCAGAAGUGCGAAUGCUGACAUAAGUAACGAUAAAGCGGGUGAAAAGCCCGCUCGCCGGAAGACCAAGGGUUCCUGUCCAACGUUAAUCGGGGCAGGGUGAGUCGACCCCUAAGGCGAGGCCGAAAGGCGUAGUCGAUGGGAAACGGGUUAAUAUUCCCGUACUUGGUGUUACUGCGAAGGGGGGACGGAGAAGGCUAUGUUGGCCGGGCGACGGUUGUCCCGGUUUAAGCGUGUAGGUGUGUGUUCCAGGUAAAUCCGGUUCACUUUAACACUGAGGCGUGACGACGAGGCACUACGGUGCUGAAGCAACAAAUGCCCUGCUUCCAGGAAAAGCCUCUAAGCAUCAGGUAACACGAAAUCGUACCCCAAACCGACACAGGUGGUCAGGUAGAGAAUACCAAGGCGCUUGAGAGAACUCGGGUGAAGGAACUAGGCAAAAUGGUGCCGUAACUUCGGGAGAAGGCACGCUGACACGUAGGUGAAGUGAUUUACUCAUGGAGCUGAAGUCAGUCGAAGAUACCAGCUGGCUGCAACUGUUUAUUAAAAACACAGCACUGUGCAAACACGAAAGUGGACGUAUACGGUGUGACGCCUGCCCGGUGCCGGAA
RNAcentral lists this ribosomal RNA (1442 nucleotides) under Salmonella enterica subsp. enterica serovar Typhimurium. Its description in RNAcentral is "partial 23S ribosomal RNA". It matches the Rfam family "Bacterial large subunit ribosomal RNA", at positions 535 to 1874 of the family's 2925-position model. Lineage: Bacteria; Pseudomonadati; Pseudomonadota; Gammaproteobacteria; Enterobacterales; Enterobacteriaceae. The record is from RNAcentral.